Nocardioides sp. Soil805 is the source of this 68-nucleotide non-coding RNA. NCBI's taxonomy places the organism in Bacteria, Bacillati, Actinomycetota, Actinomycetes, Propionibacteriales, Nocardioidaceae. The record is from Rfam.
AGCUCGACGGGAUCGACGCCGCGGGUGACGAGCAGGUAGUCGCGGAUGCAGAACGCGUGCCGGCCCUC